CACGUAGUUAGCCGUGACUUUCUGGUUGAAUACCGUCACUGCGUGAACAGUUACUCUCACGCACGUUCUUCUUCAACAACAGAGUUUUACGAGCCGAAACCCUUCUUCACUCACGCGGUGUCGCUCCAUCAGGCUUGCGCCCAUUGUGGAAGGUUCCCUACUGCUGCCUCCCGUAGGAGUAUGGACCGUGCCUCAGUUCCAUUGUGGCCGAUCAGUCUCUCAACUCGGCUAUGCAUCAUUGCCUUGGUAGGCCAUUACCCUACCAACUAGCUAAUGCACCGCGGGCCCAUCCUGAAGUGAUAGCCGAAACCAUCUUUCAAAUGAAAACCAUGUUGGUUUUCGUUGUUAUGCGGUAUUAGCACUGUUUACCAAUGUUACUCCCCCGUCUUCGAGGGCAGGUUGCCCAGUCGUUACCUCACCCGUCCGCCGUCUCACUGGUAACUCCAGUCGUCACUUCAGUGACAGCACGUCAGUAUCAGGUUCGGCAGUGCACUCGA
Molecule: ribosomal RNA, 497 nt
Filed under: uncultured Lactobacillaceae bacterium
Lineage: Bacteria; Bacillati; Bacillota; Bacilli; Lactobacillales; Lactobacillaceae
Description: partial 16S ribosomal RNA
Source: RNAcentral